UUCGAGUGGCGGACGGGUGAGUAACGCGUGGGUAACCUGCCUUACACAGGGGGAUAACACCUGGAAACAGGUGCUAAUACCGCAUAAGCGCACAGGGCCGCAUGGCCCGGUGUGAAAAACUCCGGUGGUGUAAGAUGGACCCGCGUCUGAUUAGCUUGUUGGCCGGGGGUAGAGGCCCACCAAGGCGACGAUCAGUAGCCGGCCUGAGAGGGUGGACGGCCACAUUGGGACUGAGACACGGCCCAAACUCCUACGGAAGGCAGCAG
This 266-nucleotide ribosomal RNA is filed under the name uncultured bacterium. RNAcentral's name for it is "partial 16S ribosomal RNA". It matches the Rfam family "Bacterial small subunit ribosomal RNA", at positions 90 to 354 of the family's 1533-position model. The record is from RNAcentral.